Cinara cedri is the source of this 761-nucleotide non-coding RNA. The record is from the annotation of a GenBank genome assembly. Lineage: Eukaryota; Metazoa; Arthropoda; Insecta; Hemiptera; Aphididae.
AUUGGCACGUUGUUCGGUAUAUAAAACUUAUCUAAUUAAAUCAUCGGAUAUUGUUAAUACCUACAUAUGGCUUGGUCAAAAUCGAACAUAAUGUAGGUACCUAUCGAUCCGUAAAUUUAUAAAUACUUCAAAUAUAGCGACAAUCUUAUUCACGGUUAUUUUUCGUGAAUUAUUAUUUUUUUUUUUUCUACGACCUACCCGAAUUCCGCUCACAAAACGUGAGUGACACAUGCAGUCGUUUAUGUUACAGAGAUUAGGUCGACACGUUUAGACCAGAUACUCCGGCCCAUACUGUAAACAUAUGCCUCUACCGGAUGUAUAACCAUAUUUUUAUUCCUCUCUCCCCCCCACCCCUUCGUUUAUCUGUCGGCUUCUAGUCGAACGAUUAAACUUGCCUAAUAUUGUGUAUGCUGUAGUAUUAUGUAAAACGUCGGUAGGUACUUACAAUAAUAAUAACUAUUACAAAUCGAGAUAUAAAAACACGAAAAUUAUUCUUAUAUUGCUUUCGAGUUAGGUAUAGAUGAGGUACUUAUUUGAGAUAUACAUAGGUCGGCGCAUAGCCAAUAGACGUGUAGUUUAACUACUACAUACUUAAUCAGGAUUUACACAAGAAUAUAAAAUACGAAAAAUACAGAUAACACUGUACGGACAAAAUGUUUACUUAUACCUAUACUAUACUAUUUUUGAGCGGGAAUUAUUUUUUUAUGGGCAGGGGAGGGGCAAAAAUAUAAAUGGUUUAGCUAUAGUUACGUUAUCAAUAU